GAUAUUCUUGGUAAUGGCUACUGGCCAGCAAAUCCAAAGUCUUUAAAUGUGUUAUUUUCACAGGAUUUACUUCUGCUGUGGAACACAAUGCAAAAGAGAAUGCCAGGUUGUUCUGAGUCCAGUUUUAUUAAAUCAUUGGAAGACAUAAGUGUUUCAAAAGGAAGGUUUGGAUCAAUAAAUCCACGAACGUUCACAAAAGCCUUUCGA
This is a long non-coding RNA of Xenia sp. Carnegie-2017, 207 nucleotides long. RefSeq lists it as uncharacterized. The record is from RefSeq and is a predicted model, not a curated record. NCBI's taxonomy places the organism in Eukaryota, Metazoa, Cnidaria, Anthozoa, Malacalcyonacea, Xeniidae. The transcript is spliced from 2 exons.